GGGUCAGUAGGUUGGUCGUGCCACCGGUACGUACUGGACUCACUGAUUCCUCCUUCCUGAAGAACUGUAAUGCCAUUAAUUUGGUGUUGCGGGGAAACAGGACUGUUACUUUGAAAAAAUUAGAGUGUUUAAAGCAAGCUAACGCUUGAAUACAUUAGCAUGGAAUAAUGAAAUAGGACGAUCGAUCCUAUUUUGUUGGUUUCUAGGAUUGACGUA
RNAcentral lists this ribosomal RNA (216 nucleotides) under Glomeromycotina sp. RNAcentral's name for it is "partial small subunit ribosomal RNA". The stretch from base 40 to 216 matches the Rfam family "Eukaryotic small subunit ribosomal RNA", at positions 686 to 864 of the family's 1831-position model. The record is from RNAcentral. Lineage: Eukaryota; Fungi; Glomeromycota.